Trematomus bernacchii (emerald rockcod) is the source of this 951-nucleotide long non-coding RNA. RefSeq lists it as uncharacterized. The transcript is spliced from 4 exons. The record is from RefSeq and is a predicted model, not a curated record. NCBI's taxonomy places the organism in Eukaryota, Metazoa, Chordata, Actinopteri, Perciformes, Nototheniidae.
UAUGGAAACGAAACAUUGAGUGGUAUACUUGUUUUAACAGUAAGAAACAGAAAAACUAAAAAACGAGCUGAAUUUCCGUUUUUUCGUUUUGGGGCAUACCUUGGUCCUCAACUUGCUGUAUUUGAGUAAUGAUCAGACUAACAACAACAUCAACAGGGUCGAGUGCCCGUCCUCCCGCAGGACAACCAGACAGGAAGGAGAGUCUCUGCCCGCCAGAGGAGGCCUGCAGUCUGCAGACAGUGUCCCUGCUGCAGGGACGACCAGGUGCCACAUACAAAGCGCAGGCGCCCUGCUGCUUCUGCAGACCUUCCCCAGAAAAGGAAGCAGACCUCCGCUGCUCUUCCUCCUAAACCUGCUGACCUGCCACCUGUCUCUAAUGUGGCCCCCAGCCCCCGGACCUCCACUGCUCCUCUGCACCUCGACAACCCUAUCAGGAUCCACAAUCGCUCAGUCGAGGAGUACCAGCUCAUCUACCAUGAAGUUGUGGAUAACAUGCUGAGGUUCCCGAACGGUCUCCUGCGUCCAUAUAGUUUGGGUCUGGGUCGUCGUAUCAAGCAGAAGCUGUGGGAGCGACUGGACCGUCCGAUGUUCACAGAGACAGUGGAUGAAGACGGUCUGGUCCAUGUGGACGUGUCCUACGGUGCUGGAGUCCAGCCUCCGCUCUUCAACGUGGAUGUUUCUGGUGAACCAGAGCCCGAAUAUCCACCAGCAAAAAGGGCAAAGCACUAAGACACACUCUCAUAAGCUGACAUGUCUAAAUAACACUGUGCUUUAAGUUUAGUUUAGUUUUUUUAAGUUUCAUUUGAGUAGUUUUAAGUUUUAAGUAUGGCAGUUAAGUUUAAGUUUAUUAAGUGUAGAGUUAAGUCUUUAGUGCCAAGCAUAAGUAUUAAGUGUUAAGUCUUUAGUUUUAAGUAUUUAGUCAUAAGUAUAACUAUAAAGUGUUAAGAGUAA